This 253-nucleotide ribosomal RNA is filed under the name uncultured bacterium. RNAcentral's name for it is "partial 16S ribosomal RNA". It matches the Rfam family "Bacterial small subunit ribosomal RNA", at positions 524 to 776 of the family's 1533-position model. The record is from RNAcentral.
UACGGGGGGGGCAAGCAUUGUUCGGAAUUACUGGGCGUAAAGGGCUCGUAGGCGGCCAACUAAGUCAGACGUGAAAUCCCUCGGCUUAACCGGGGAACUGCGUCUGAUACUGGAUGGCUUGAGUUUGGGAGAGGGAUGCGGAAUUCCAGGUGUAGCGGUGAAAUGCGUAGAUAUCUGGAGGAACACCGGUGGCGAAGGCGGCUCACUGGCCCGAUACUGACGCUGAGGCACGAAAGCGUGGGGAGCAAACAGG